AGCUAGGUAACAAGCUCUCCUCUUAAAGUAAGAAAAAAGAUUGACAGAAAAGUCGUGCGCAAUCGGAGGAAGCCCUGACUCCCAGGGUAGCUACCACAGCGCUGCAUAAAUGCGUGCAUCCUUGCAGAAGGAGGCGGCUCUCCUUUAGGAUAACACAAAGAUGUCACCCUACACUUUACGUUCACUUCGUGACAGUUUAGAUUAGAGUUCAAUCUGCUGAUGUAACUCCGUAUUAAAAAGCCACGGUAUCAUCGAUAGAGAACCAAACGUUAUUGCAACAGUGCCUGGAAGGUAGCAGUUUGAAGGUGUGAGUAUAUGAAGCAGUGAUGAUGAAUUUUGGAACGGUAAAAACGACGAUUCUGCUGCUUUGGGUGCCAGUUUCGCUGUGUGCAUUGAUUAGAGAAGAGAAACCUGUUCAAAGUGGCUACUACACCCAGGACCAGAAAGCCUUGGACUGUACUCUGCUUGAAGAUUGCACACCCAAAGAAAAUACCGAAAAUACUCAAAAAAUUGGACAAAGCGCGUUCGAAAGACUUUACUUGUUGAAGGCGAUUUGGGAGAAACGUCGUCAAAAUUUCUUUCUGGGUUUGAAUGCUAACAGCGAUUUCGAGGCGGAUGUUGGAAGCCCUGGUGAAUUUUUAUAUCAAAGUGUCAGAUUUGACCGGGGCACAACCUACAAGUCAAACAAGGGGAAGCGUUUCGUCUGCAACACAUUCGGUGGGUGUAGACUUCCAGCCGACGUGAUAACCAAGAGUAAGAAGUAAAGUCGGGUUACUGAUGAAAGAAGUAUCCAUGGUCAUUUAUGGAAUGUUUCUUUGACUGAAAGAAAAAAUGAACAUUUUUAAGUUUGGGAUCCAUAAUUCCUUUCAAAA
This is a long non-coding RNA of Lingula anatina, 872 nucleotides long. The record is from RefSeq and is a predicted model, not a curated record. Lineage: Eukaryota; Metazoa; Brachiopoda; Lingulata; Lingulida; Lingulidae.